Molecule: transfer-messenger RNA, 375 nt
Filed under: Pseudonocardia sp. SCN 72-86
Lineage: Bacteria; Bacillati; Actinomycetota; Actinomycetes; Pseudonocardiales; Pseudonocardiaceae
Rfam family: transfer-messenger RNA
About the family: Bacterial tmRNA, also known as 10Sa RNA or SsrA, is named for its dual tRNA and mRNA-like properties. Its role is to liberate the mRNA from a stalled ribosome. To accomplish this part of the tmRNA is used as a reading frame that ends in a translation stop signal.
Source: RNAcentral
GGGGGUGAACGGUUUCGACUUCGGAUGUAGAUCGAGGUGAAGCGUGCCGAGGAAGGCGACGAUGAUCUCGUUAACCACCCGUCGCAAAAAUUCAAGCGCCGACAACAGUCCGCGCGAGUCGUACGCCCUCGCCGCCUGAGCGAGAGCUGACUCUGUCGAACCGGGGGCUCCCUCGCUCCGGACCUCGGCAUCAUUUAGAGGGAUCACCGCUCGAGCCGGUCGCGGACUCGGACGGGACAUCAAACAGCGACUGGGAUCGUCACUUCGGCUUGUUCGCGUGACCGAAGGAUCCGAGUAGAGGCAUAGCGGACUGCGCACGGAGAAGCCCUCGAAAAGCAACGGAGGACCCGGGUUCGAUUCCCGGCACCUCCACCC